CCUACGGGUGGCAGCAGUGGGGAAUAUUGCACAAUGGGGGAAACCCUGACGCAGCGACGCCGCGUGAGUGAAGAAGGAUUUCGGUAUGUAAAGCUCUAUCAGCAGGGAAGAAAAUGACGGUACCUGAUUAAGAAGCCCCGGCGAACUACGUGCCAGCAGCCGCGGGAAUACGUAGGGGGCAAGCGUUAGCCGGAUUUACUGGGGGUAAAGGGAGCGGAGACGGCAGCGCAAGUCUGGAGUGAAAUGCCGGGGCUUAACCCCGGAGCUGCUUUGGAAACUGUGCAGCUAGAGUGCAGGAGAGGUAAGUGGAAUUCCAAGUGUAGCGGUGAAAUGCGUAGAUAUUAGGAGGAACACCAGUGGCGAAGGCGGCUUACUGGACUGUAACUGACGUUGAGGCUCGAAAGCGUGGGGAGCAAACAGGAUUAGAUACCCUUGUAGUC
Molecule: ribosomal RNA, 440 nt
Filed under: uncultured bacterium
Lineage: Bacteria
Description: partial 16S ribosomal RNA
Rfam family: Bacterial small subunit ribosomal RNA
Source: RNAcentral